UGGGCAGCCAUUUCGGAAGAGGGCAAAGCACCCGCCCUCCGUCUUAAAGAGACACAAAGGAAUAAACUGCUGACCAGCUUUAAGGCCUAUGGCAGGAUACAGUGUGGUUACUGUAUGAGAGCUAAGAAGAAAAAAAGAAAUAUUUUCGCGUAUUUUUAUAAUGUCCUUGGGAGAUUCGGAAGGUGGAUGCCCAGGUAGGGACAUACCUGUCUCUGGGUUCCCAUAGAACUGAGGGUAAAAUUGCGGUGAUACAGCUACAUCUUUACUACAUAUUGCCAAAUUACUCUCCAAAGUGGUUGUACUUCCACCAGGGCUCUGAGAGUUGUCUUUUGGGGAAGGUAUUCAAGAGCAAGUACAGAUCUCAGCAGGGGUUUCUUGGACACAGAGGGGAAUGAAGAAAUGGAACAGCAGAGGAAAGCACGGGAAAGCUGCAUGUAAGAAAGAACAACAUGCUCUUUGUGGUUGUCUAUACCUAUUUGAGAAGAGAAACCAUGUCUUAUGUUGGUCUGCACAUAGAAUAAAUAAAUGGCUAU
This is a long non-coding RNA of Pteropus alecto (black flying fox), 533 nucleotides long. RefSeq lists it as uncharacterized. Lineage: Eukaryota; Metazoa; Chordata; Mammalia; Chiroptera; Pteropodidae. The record is from RefSeq and is a predicted model, not a curated record. The transcript has 3 exons.